GCACAACUAGACUACUAAGUGACACGUGUACUAUGGUCAUCUUCAAUGACAGGAUAGAGAUGUGUUCUCUCAUGACCUGUGUUCCCCAUUUCUUCUGAGAGUGAUAGAGAAGAAAAUUAGAUUAAGUAAACCCAAGGAAAGACUUUGCUAUGCAUAGGAAGUAAUUAUGGGCACCCAGUAAAUUCCCAAUAACAGUUGACAAAUGGAAUGAAUGGCUACUGAGGGAAAGCAUUGGUAUCCUUCAUCUUUCUGAGAGUAUAGGGCUGGAGUACAUCACCUUUUGAGAUAAAUUCAGAGUAUUUAUUUUUUGCUCCAUUUCAGAUACUUCCAAAUAGGGCCUCCCAUUUUGGUGUGUGUACGCGCACACACACACGCACGUGCACAAGUGCCUCCAGGUAGGAGGCUAUAUAUUUUGGGGUGAUUUAGACAUUGCUUCUCUUCUCACCACCUCAAGGUGCCAUAGCAAACCCAGCUCCAAUUCUAUUAGGGACCUUUCAGCGAGAGAUUGUAGUUGGUCUUCACACCUUUGAAAGGCCUGAAAAAAGGAGGUAACCUUCAGGACAGGCAGGAGAUUUCAAGCUCAUUGACAGUCAGUUCUGUGCUCAUGUAGCUUGAGAUUCUUGGCCCCAUUGCUGACCAACAGCAUUGCCCAACCAAAAAAAAACUCAGAUCUUUGAAGAGAAGAUUAGGAUAUACUUGGAUUUUAUUCCACAUUGCAAAGAUCAUUAGUGCCUAGAUUAGAUCCAGCCCACAUCUCUAGGUUUAUCUGAUUUCUAUUUUAGUCCUUUAGGGAACUGGACACAGCUAUCUUGGGAUAUGAAUUCGUAGUGUAUGUGAAGGAUCAGAAGUUGGUCACUGUGGAAAUCUCCACAGAAGUAUGGUAACCAGGACUGUAGGCCUGGCCCUGUGCUGGUUUAUAUAUACUGUGAGGCAUGGAAGAUACCCACUGUGGGGUGCAUACAUAGGAAGACAAAGCUGAACCAUGAUAAAAUGAAUGAAAUGUAUAAUUUAGUAUGUGACUUCAAUUGUACAGUAAAGAUUAAAAGGACUGGAGAAAAUGUAUGAAAUGCUAUGGUGGGAUAUAAGUGGGUAGAGUAGCAGGCAUUCCAAAUUGAGAAAAAAAAACCUCAACCAGAGCAUGGAGAUGAGAUGGUCUGGGCACACUUGAGGAACAGUGAGGGGACUGACCUGACCAAAGCAGAGGUUUGAGUUUAAUGAUAGGAAUCAGAUUGGCAAGUCAUGUUGUGGAAGUCUUCAUAACAGAGGAGAGUUUGGGUGUUACUGAAUAGCAAUGGGAUGCCCUGACUGGAUGCUUUUGCUAAUGGUUUUAUAGUGAGAAAAUAAAGCCUUCUCAGCCCCACUUUGCUCUUUCUGUUCUCCAAGGAGAAGGAUUUUCAGAAUAGAAAGGACAAGAUGAACACCAGAGACAAGCUCCUGAAGACAGUCUCAUCCCAGGGUGCCAUGAGCUUCCCUGGGAAACUCCAGCUCAGAGUCUAGGUCAAUAACUGCCCUGACCAUUUUGAGGACUCACAGCUCAACUGCAGGACAAAUGGUGGUGGCUUUACAAACCCCAGGGAGAAUGGAAAUGAUGCAUGCUGCUGCCUAGAGAUGAACAAACAUGGCCCCCACCAUUUUGCAGGUAGGAAAAGGUAAAUUCCACAAAUUUAUAGAUCAAUAAGUGUGAUAUUAAUCAAGGGCAAGAUUCUGAGACAAAUGAUUAAAAGAAUGGUUGGUGAGCACUUAGAAAAGAAAGUGAAGAUCACUCAGCUCCUGGACUUAGGGGAAAAAAUUCCCACUCAAUUCAUUUCCUUUGAUAGGGAGAUUGGACAGGUAGAGGAGUGGAAAGCUAUACCCACAAUGUAUUUGGAAUUCAACAAAACAUUCUCUCAAUACUCUUGGGACAAUAUAGACAAAAUGCAGGGUGGGUAGAAGUAAAAAUUGGUGGACUUUUAACUGGUUAAGUGACUACAUGCAAAAGAAUUCUGUUUGGGGCUAGGGAUAUAGCUCAGCUUGUAGAGUGCCUGCCUUGCAUGCACAAGGCCCUGGGUUCAAUCCCCAGCACCACACAAAACAAAAUGAAACAAAAGGUUCUGUUUUAAUGUCACCAGAUCAGACUUAUAAAUUACACAAAACUGGUAAAGUCCCUUAUUUGAAUUUCAAAAUGUAACAGUACGAGUAUAGGAUGUGGCCUAAAGGAAUUUUUAGAGAAAAUGAAAGCUCAUCAUGAGUUGAGUCAAAUGGAUGGUUUGGUUGCUACAAAAAGUAUUAUGACCUUGGACUAUAUUAAUAAGUCAGGAUAAAGGAGGUGAUCACCUGUGCUACUCUGUACUGGUCAGGCCACACCUGAUGCCCCCUGUUCAUUCAGUUAUGAGCACCAGACUUCAUGGGGGAUAUUACCAAAAACAUACUCAGAAUAGUGGUGAUGAUAGUGAGGGGCUGGAGAAUCCCAGGGAAAAUUUGUCUACUGUUGGCAAAUCGUUUCUGGGUUCAUGGGGAAGAGGAAGCUGUAGUUUUGUUCUGUGUGACUCCAAAGGCUCUGAGAUCUAAUAGAUGGAAGUUAUAGGAAAGCAGAUUUGGAUCAACAUAAAUUGCUCUUUUUCUUUUCUUUUUUAU
This 2613-nucleotide long non-coding RNA is filed under the name Marmota monax (woodchuck). The stretch from base 2002 to 2059 matches the Rfam family "tRNA", at positions 8 to 63 of the family's 71-position model. Lineage: Eukaryota; Metazoa; Chordata; Mammalia; Rodentia; Sciuridae. The record is from RNAcentral.